CAGGCCAGUGCACGUUGGCCGGUGCCGUGAGUGCUCUGAGGACCGGCCCACGGAGCUGACGCCAAGAAGCUCUUUGAGGUCAAGGAUCCACCAGAGAGUUCUGCACUGUGCUUUGCUGAGUUCUUAAGAUGGCCUCAGCAGCUGACAGCAAUGGCCCAAGAGUCCUGUAAAUCCAAAGUCAGCAUCCAGAAAUGGUGACCCUUCUAACACCACUCUCAUGCGAAGGCUCAAUGAUCUCAUCUUUGAAGAUAAGAAGAGGUGGGAUCUCUGGUGACUCGAUUGAAGUCCUCCCUGCCCCCCGAAACCUGCAGAGUACAGAGCUUUUGGAAUAUACACCACCCUGAUAUCAAAGGAAGGAGCCCUGUUGGAGGAAUUGACAUUUCCCCCUCUCAUCUCUGGGUUAAUGGGAAGACCUGUAUUCAAAGGUAUGAGUUUGGGGGCAGUGCUUGGGAUUUAUGACCAAUGAGUAAUUUCACUACAAAGCUGGAAAUGAAUGAAGUCUAU
Long non-coding RNA from Physeter macrocephalus (sperm whale), 504 nucleotides. RefSeq lists it as uncharacterized. The transcript has 5 exons. The record is from RefSeq and is a predicted model, not a curated record. NCBI's taxonomy places the organism in Eukaryota, Metazoa, Chordata, Mammalia, Artiodactyla, Physeteridae.